AACGAACGCUGGCGGCAGGCCUAACACAUGCAAGUCGAGCGCCCCGCAAGGGGAGCGGCGGACGGGUGAGUAACGCGUGGGAAUAUGCCCUUUGCUACGGAAUAGUCUCGGGAAACUGGGGGUAAUACCGUAUACGCCCUUUGGGGGAAAGAUUUAUCGGCGAAGGAUUAGCCCGCGUUGGAUUAGGUAGUUGGUGGGGUAAUGGCCUACCAAGCCGACGAUCCAUAGCUGGUUUGAGAGGAUGAUCAGCCACACUGGGACUGAGACACGGCCCAGACUCCUACGGGAGGCAGCAGUGGGGAAUCUUAGACAAUGGGGGCAACCCUGAUCUAGCCAUGCUGCGUGAGUGAUGGAGGCCUUAGGGUUGUAAAGCUCUUUCAGCUGGGAAGAUAAUGACGGUACCAGCAGAAGAAGCCCCGGCUAACUCCGUG
RNAcentral lists this ribosomal RNA (431 nucleotides) under uncultured bacterium. RNAcentral's name for it is "partial 16S ribosomal RNA". It matches the Rfam family "Bacterial small subunit ribosomal RNA", at positions 29 to 507 of the family's 1533-position model. The record is from RNAcentral.